CUGGCAGCGGAGAGAGAUCGUACACUUUUUACCCACGAGGCGAGGAAGCGAGACGUUCGACAUGGUUGUUACCGGGAAAGAGCAAUCCGUUUCCAUCGGUCUACAUUUACUUAAUUUUUCAUCGGUAGGAAGAAGGAAACGAAGCAAAUAUAAUUUAAAAAGCAUCGCACUUGGAAGUUGAAUCGAUUUUUAUGAAUCGUGGGAAAAAGAUGUAAGAAAGGAAUUUGGCCAGUGAAGAAUACAUUGAGUGUAAAUAUGUUAUGGGUUAUUCUGCAUCAUGUUUGAAGAUCAAAUGCUUGUAUUAUGGAAAAAUACAAGAUUCUACAUAUUUAUGGAAUACAUAAAAGGUGCAUAUUAAACAAUGGAUGACAUUUAAUUUUUAAAAUCUGGAUAUCAGAUACAAGAAGAACUAAUUAAUAAAACUGAAAAUAAUUAGUAAGUAAACAUUUUUGUGAACUAUUCUUAAUGUUUGCAUGAUAUUGAGAAAUAUCAAA
Long non-coding RNA from Centruroides sculpturatus (bark scorpion), 494 nucleotides. RefSeq lists it as uncharacterized. The transcript has 4 exons. Lineage: Eukaryota; Metazoa; Arthropoda; Arachnida; Scorpiones; Buthidae. The record is from RefSeq and is a predicted model, not a curated record.